RNAcentral lists this ribosomal RNA (429 nucleotides) under Acidobacteriota bacterium. RNAcentral's name for it is "Acidobacteria bacterium partial 16S ribosomal RNA". It matches the Rfam family "Bacterial small subunit ribosomal RNA", at positions 355 to 776 of the family's 1533-position model. The record is from RNAcentral. Lineage: Bacteria; Pseudomonadati; Acidobacteriota.
UGGGGAAUUUUGGACAAUGGGGGAAACCCUGAUCCAGCCAUCCCGCGUGUGCGAUGAAGGCCUUCGGGUUGUAAAGCACUUUUGGCAGGAAAGAAACGUCAUGGGUUAAUACCCCGUGAAACUGACGGUACCUGCAGAAUAAGCACCGGCUAACUACGUGCCAGCAGCCGCGGUAAUACGUAGGGUGCAAGCGUUAAUCGGAAUUACUGGGCGUAAAGCGUGCGCAGGCGGUUCGGAAAGAAAGAUGUGAAAUCCCAGAGCUCAACUUUGGAACUGCAUUUUUAACUACCGGGCUAGAGUGUGUGAGAGGUAGGUGGAAUUCCGCGUGUAGCAGUGAAAUGCGUAGAUAUGCGGAGGAACACCGAUGGCGAAGGCAGCCUCCUGGGAUAACACUGACGCUCAUGCACGAAAGCGUGGGGAGCAAACAGG